RNAcentral lists this long non-coding RNA (1110 nucleotides) under Sarcophilus harrisii (Tasmanian devil). RNAcentral describes it as "lncRNA (ENSSHAG00000028190.1)". The record is from RNAcentral. Lineage: Eukaryota; Metazoa; Chordata; Mammalia; Dasyuromorphia; Dasyuridae.
AUGGUGGGCCCCAGAGCCAGAGCCUGGCCACAGCAGAGAUCCCACUGGCUGGGGGGAAGGGGGGGGCUCUUUCUGAAGGAUCCUCCUGGACUGUGGGGAGCCCGCCUCCUGAGGGCAGGAGAUGCCGGGGACCCCCGGCCCCCAGUGCUCCCCCGCCCCCGACACCUUUCUUGGUGCUGCCAGGGAAUGGCCAGCCAGGGGGAGCUCCCCGUCCCGGGAGGCUCCCAAAGGGCAAGAGCCGGGUGUAGCUGCAGCGGCCCCCUGCCGUGCCCACCCCCAGCGGGGGGCCCGCGUGCCCUCCUCCCUCGGACCCCCGGCUGCCCUCCUCCUUUCCCCUCUUAUGUCCUUCCGGCCUUCCCUCCCCCUGCCCGCAGAGAAGGGCCCAGUUUGUUAGGGAGGGAGGCCUGGGACCCGACCUCAGGAGGCAGAGCCCUUGGACUUCCUGGCCCAGAACCACCCCAGGUCCGCCUCGGGGGCUGCUCCCUGACUCCUGGGAUUCCCCUCGGGCGGGGGCCAGGACCCAGCCCCCAACCUCCCCCAUCCCAGCCUCGGGCCUCCGCUCCCAGUCACUCUGGCUUUGUCUUGGUUGUUCAUUUUCUCCCUCCCUCUCUUCCUCAUUUCCCUCCCUCCCCCCUCCUUUCUCUCCCUUCCCUCCCCGUCCCUCCUAUACUUGGGCCCCUCGGGAGGCACAGUGGCUCCGGCUCCUUCCCUUUGCACACAUUUCCGGGGAUUGAGGAGACCCCGCUCGUCGGUGGGAGGGGCCAUUGUUGGCCAGUGGCCGGCGGGGACCCCGACGCUGGGCUCGCAGACGCACCUGCCCGGAAAGCGCAUGUUUGUUGUUCCUCGGUUUCUCCUGUAACGCCCCAUAAACCCGACUCCAUGUACCUGUUUAACGGAACGGCCGAGCUCUGUCUCGUUCUUCUCGAUCGCUCGUCCCGGGCUCCGAGGGGCCGCAGGGGGUGGGCUGGGGGCAGCGGGAUGGACAGGUCAGGGGGCUCAGCCUUCCGGCCCUUCCCGGACUCUCUCCGGGUUUGGGACCUUGCCCAUGAGCACAGACACGUCCUCCCGCGGGCACAAGGGCACACCGCGGAGGUCUGGCCUAGCGGUUAA